This 61-nucleotide ribosomal RNA is filed under the name Podosphaera balsaminae. RNAcentral describes it as "partial 28S ribosomal RNA". It matches the Rfam family "Eukaryotic large subunit ribosomal RNA", at positions 1 to 58 of the family's 3401-position model. Lineage: Eukaryota; Fungi; Ascomycota; Leotiomycetes; Helotiales; Erysiphaceae. The record is from RNAcentral.
GGAUGACCUCGGAUCAGGUAGGGAUACCCGCUGAACUUAAGCAUAUCAAUAAGCGGAGGAA